Molecule: ribosomal RNA, 254 nt
Filed under: uncultured bacterium
Lineage: Bacteria
Description: partial 16S ribosomal RNA
Rfam family: Bacterial small subunit ribosomal RNA
Source: RNAcentral
CGUCCUACGGGGGGCAGCAGUGGGGAAUAUUGCACAAUGGGGGAAACCCUGAUGCAGCGACGCCGCGUGAGUGAAGAAGUAUUUCGGUAUGUAAAGCUCUAUCAGCAGGGAAGAAGCAAGACGGUACCUGACUAAGAAGCCCCGGCUAACUAAGUGCCAGCAGCCGCGGUAAUACGUAGGGGGCAAGCGUUAUCCGGAUUUACUGGGUGUAAAGGGAGCGUAGACGGUAUGGCAAGUCUGAAGUGAAAGCCCAG